RNAcentral lists this ribosomal RNA (500 nucleotides) under Rhodotorula sp. DMKU-SP165. Its description in RNAcentral is "LSU rRNA". It matches the Rfam family "Eukaryotic large subunit ribosomal RNA", at positions 133 to 649 of the family's 3401-position model. The record is from RNAcentral. Lineage: Eukaryota; Fungi; Basidiomycota; Microbotryomycetes; Sporidiobolales; Sporidiobolaceae.
GGUGUCCGAGUUGUAAUCUCAAAAAAUGUUUUCCGCGUUGGACCGCACACAAGUCUGUUGGAAUACAGCGGCAUAGUGGUGAGACCCCCGUAUAUGGUGCGGACGCCCAGCGCUUUGUGAUACAUUUUCGAAGAGUCGAGUUGUUUGGGAAUGCAGCUCAAAUUGGGUGGUAAAUUCCAUCUAAAGCUAAAUAUUGGCGAGAGACCGAUAGCGAACAAGUACCGUGAGGGAAAGAUGAAAAGCACUUUGGAAAGAGAGUUAACAGUACGUGAAAUUGUUGGAAGGGAAACGCUUGAAGUCAGACUUGCUUGCUGAGCAAUCGGUUUGCAGGCCAGCAUCAGUUUUCCGGGAUGGAUAAUGGUAGAGAGAAGGUAGCAGUUUCNGCUGUGUUAUAGCUCUCUGCUGGAUACAUCUUGGGGGACUGAGGAACGCAGUGUGCCUUUGGCGGGGGUUUCGACCUCUUCACACUUAGGAUGCUGGUGGAAUGGCUUUAAACGACC